UACAGAGGUCUCAAGCGUUGUUCGGAUUCAUUGGGCGUAAAGGGUGCGUAGGCGGCGGGGCAAGUCUGAUGUGAAAUCCCGGGGCUCAACCCCGGAACUGCAUUGGAUACUGCCUUGCUAGAGUACUGGAGAGGAGACUGGAAUUUACGGUGUAGCAGUGAAAUGCGUAGAUAUCGUAAGGAAGGCCAGUGGCGAAGGCGAGUCUCUGGACAGUUACUGACGCUGAGGCACGAAGGCCAGGGGAGCGAACGGG
This 253-nucleotide ribosomal RNA is filed under the name uncultured bacterium. RNAcentral describes it as "partial 16S ribosomal RNA". It matches the Rfam family "Bacterial small subunit ribosomal RNA", at positions 524 to 776 of the family's 1533-position model. The record is from RNAcentral.